UACGUAGGGGGCAAGCGUUAUCCGGAUUUACUGGGUGUAAAGGGAGCGUAGGCGGCAUGGCAAGUCAGAUGUGAAAGGCAGGGGCUCAACCCCUGGACUGCAUUUGAAACUGCCAGGCUGGAGUGCAGGAGAGGUAAGUGGAAUUCCUAGUGUAGCGGUGAAAUGCGUAGAUAUUAGGAGGAACACCAGUGGCGAAGGCGACUUACUGGACUGUAACUGACGCUGAUGCUCGAAAGCGUGGGGAGCGAAC
Molecule: ribosomal RNA, 250 nt
Filed under: uncultured bacterium
Lineage: Bacteria
Description: partial 16S ribosomal RNA
Rfam family: Bacterial small subunit ribosomal RNA
Source: RNAcentral